UAUUUUAAAGAGAGUUUGAUCCUGGCUCAGGACGAACGCUGGCGGCGUGCCUAAUACAUGCAAGUCGAACGAACGGAGGAAGAGCUUGCUCUUCCAAAGUUAGUGGCGGACGGGUGAGUAACACGUGGGCAACCUGCCUGUAAGUUGGGGAUAACUCCGGGAAACCGGGGCUAAUACCGAAUGAUAAAGUGUGGCGCAUGCCACGCUUUUGAAAGAUGGUUUCGGCUAUCGCUUACAGAUGGGCCCGCGGUGCAUUAGCUAG
Molecule: ribosomal RNA, 262 nt
Filed under: Listeria monocytogenes
Lineage: Bacteria; Bacillati; Bacillota; Bacilli; Caryophanales; Listeriaceae
Description: partial 16S ribosomal RNA
Rfam family: Bacterial small subunit ribosomal RNA
Source: RNAcentral